GUUGAGGUCUAUCCUGAUGGGGCUUUCUGUAGCCACACAUCAUUGGAAACGCCUCAUAGAGUGACAUUGUGGCGCUUUACUCGCAGGACUAUUUGUUAGGUCUGUGGGAAAGAACUUCAAGAAAAUU
This is a small nucleolar RNA of Nycticebus coucang (slow loris), 127 nucleotides long. NCBI's taxonomy places the organism in Eukaryota, Metazoa, Chordata, Mammalia, Primates, Lorisidae. The record is from RefSeq and is a predicted model, not a curated record.